GCGAGUGAAGAGGGAAGAGCCCAAGAUUGAAAGCUGGCGUCUUCGGCGUCCGCAUUGUAAUCUCAAGAAGUGUUUUCCGCUUCGGACCAUGCCUAAGUCCCUUGGAAAAGGGCAUCAUAGAGGGUGAUAAUCCCGUACAUGGCAUGGAGCGCCCGAAGCUUUGUGAUACGCUUUCUAAGAGUCGAGUUGUUUGGGAAUGCAGCUCAAAAUGGGUGGUAAAUGCCAUCUAAGGCUAAAUAUUGGGGAGAGACCGAUAGCGAACAAGUACAGUGAUGGAAAGAUGAAAAGAACUUUGAAAAGAGAGUUAAACAGUACGUGAAAUUGCCAAAAGGGAAGGGUAGGAGGUCAGAGAUGCGGCCUGGGAUUCAGCCUUGCUUUUGCUUGGUGUUUUUCCCAGAUUGCAGGCCAACGUCGGUUUUGGGCACUGGAGAAGGGUAGGAGGAACGUGGCACCUCUCGGGGUGUGUUAUAGCCUCCUACUGGAUACAGCGACCGAGACCGAGGACAGCAGCGUACUCGCAAGAGCGGGCCUUCGGGCACCUUUACGCUUAGGGCGUUGGCAUAAUGGCCCUCUACCACCCGUCUU
Molecule: ribosomal RNA, 585 nt
Filed under: Dirkmeia churashimaensis
Lineage: Eukaryota; Fungi; Basidiomycota; Ustilaginomycetes; Ustilaginales; Ustilaginaceae
Description: LSU rRNA
Rfam family: Eukaryotic large subunit ribosomal RNA
Source: RNAcentral